GUGGGGAAUUUUGGACAAUGGGCGCAAGCCUGAUCCAGCAAUGCCGCGUGCAGGAAGAAGGCCUUCGGGUUGUAAACUGCUUUUGUACGGAACGAAACGGUCCGGGUUAAUACCCUGGGCUAAUGACGGUACCGUAAGAAUAAGCACCGGCUAACUACGUGCCAGCAGCCGCGGUAAUACGUAGGGUGCAAGCGUUAAUCGGAAUUACUGGGCGUAAAGCGUGCGCAGGCGGUUUUGUAAGACAGGCGUGAAAUCCGCGGGCUCAACCUGGGAAUUGCGCUUGUGACUGCAAGGCUGGAGUGCGGCAGAGGGGGAUGGAAUUCCGCGUGUAGCAGUGAAAUGCGUAGAUAUGCGGAGGAACACCGAUGGCGAAGGCAAUCCCCUGGGCCUGCACUGACGCUCAUGCACGAAAGCGUGGGGAGCAAACAGGAUUAGAUACCCUUGUAGUCC
This 450-nucleotide ribosomal RNA is filed under the name uncultured bacterium. RNAcentral describes it as "partial 16S ribosomal RNA". It matches the Rfam family "Bacterial small subunit ribosomal RNA", at positions 354 to 796 of the family's 1533-position model. The record is from RNAcentral.